RNAcentral lists this ribosomal RNA (1178 nucleotides) under Salmonella enterica subsp. enterica serovar Thompson. Its description in RNAcentral is "bacterial LSU rRNA". It matches the Rfam family "Bacterial large subunit ribosomal RNA", at positions 1 to 1211 of the family's 2925-position model. Lineage: Bacteria; Pseudomonadati; Pseudomonadota; Gammaproteobacteria; Enterobacterales; Enterobacteriaceae. The record is from RNAcentral.
GGGUUGUGAGGUUAAGCGACUAAGCGUACACGGUGGAUGCCCUGGCAGUCAGAGGCGAUGAAGGGCGUGCUAAUCUGCGAUAAGCGCCGGUAAGGUGAUAUGAACCGUUAUAACCGGCGAUACCCGAAUGGGGAAACCCAGUGUGACUCGUCACACUAUCAUUAACUGAAUCCAUAGGUUAAUGAGGCGAACCGGGGGAACUGAAACAUCUAAGUACCCCGAGGAAAAGAAAUCAACCGAGAUUCCCCCAGUAGCGGCGAGCGAACGGGGAGGAGCCCAGAGCCUGAAUCAGCAUGUGUGUUAGUGGAAGCGUCUGGAAAGACGCGCGAUACAGGGUGACAGCCCCGUACACAAAAGCGCAUGUGUUGUGAGCUCGAUGAGUAGGGCGGGACACGUGGUAUCCUGUCUGAAUAUGGGGGGACCAUCCUCCAAGGCUAAAUACUCCUGACUGACCGAUAGUGAACCAGUACCGUGAGGGAAAGGCGAAAAGAACCCCGGCGAGGGGAGUGAAAAAGAACCUGAAACCGUGUACGUACAAGCAGUGGGAGCACCCUUUGGGGUGUGACUGCGUACCUUUUGUAUAAUGGGUCAGCGACUUAUAUUCUGUAGCAAGGUUAACCGUAUAGGGGAGCCGUAGGGAAACCGAGUCUUAACCGGGCGUUAAGUUGCAGGGUAUAGACCCGAAACCCGGUGAUCUAGCCAUGGGCAGGUUGAAGGUUGGGUAACACUAACUGGAGGACCGAACCGACUAAUGUUGAAAAAUUAGCGGAUGACCUGUGGCUGGGGGUGAAAGGCCAAUCAAACCGGGAGAUAGCUGGUUCUCCCCGAAAGCUAUUUAGGUAGCGCCUCGUGAAUUCAUCUCCGGGGGUAGAGCACUGUUUCGGCUAGGGGGCCAUCCCGGCUUACCAACCCGAUGCAAACUGCGAAUACCGGAGAAUGUUAUCACGGGAGACACACGGCGGGUGCUAACGUCCGUCGUGAAGAGGGAAACAACCCAGACCGCCAGCUAAGGUCCCAAAGUCAUGGUUAAGUGGGAAACGAUGUGGGAAGGCCCAGACAGCCAGGAUGUUGGCUUAGAAGCAGCCAUCAUUUAAAGAAAGCGUAAUAGCUCACUGGUCGAGUCGGCCUGCGCGGAAGAUGUAACGGGGCUAAACCAUGCACCGAAGCUGCGGCAGCGA